AAAUUGAAGAGUUUGAUCAUGGCUCAGAUUGAACGCUGGCGGCAGGCCUAACACAUGCAAGUCGAGCGGAAACGAGUUAUCUGAACCUUCGGGGAAGGAUAACGGCGUCGAGCGGCGGACGGGUGAGUAAUGCCUAGGAAAUUGCCCUGAUGUGGGGGAGUAACCAUUGGAAACGAUGGCUAAUACCGCAUGAUGCCUACGGGCCAAAGAGGGGGACCUUCGGGCCUCUCGCGUCAGGAUAUGCCUAGGUGGGAUUAGCUAGUUGGUGAGGUAAGGGCUCACCAAGGCGACGAUCCCUAGCUGGUCUGAGAGGAUGAUCAGCCACACUGGAACUGAGACACGGUCCAGACUCCUACGGGAGGCAGCAGUGGGGAAUAUUGCACAAUGGGCGCAAGCCUGAUGCAGCCAUGCCGCGUGUGUGAAGAAGGCCUUCGGGUUGUAAAGCACUUUCAGUCGUGAGGAAGGUAGUGUAGUUAAUAGCUGCAUUAUUUGACGUUAGCGACAGAAGAAGCACCGGCUAACUCCGUGCCAGCAGCCGCGGUAAUACGGAGGGUGCGAGCGUUAAUCGGAAUUACUGGGCGUAAAGCGCAUGCAGGUGGUUUGUUAAGUCAGAUGUGAAAGCCCGGGGCUCAACCUCGGAAUUGCAUUUGAAACUGGCAGACUAGAGUACUGUAGAGGGGGGUAGAAUUUCAGGUGUAGCGGUGAAAUGCGUAGAGAUCUGAAGGAAUACCGGUGGCGAAGGCGGCCCCCUGGACAGAUACUGACACUCAGAUGCGAAAGCGUGGGGAGCAAACAGGAUUAGAUACCCUGGUAGUCCACGCCGUAAACGAUGUCUACUUGGAGGUUGUGGCCUUGAGCCGUGGCUUUCGGAGCUAACGCGUUAAGUAGACCGCCUGGGGAGUACGGUCGCAAGAUUAAAACUCAAAUGAAUUGACGGGGGCCCGCACAAGCGGUGGAGCAUGUGGUUUAAUUCGAUGCAACGCGAAGAACCUUACCUACUCUUGACAUCCAGAGAACUUUCCAGAGAUGGAUUGGUGCCUUCGGGAACUCUGAGACAGGUGCUGCAUGGCUAGUCGUCAAGCUCGUGUUGUGAAAUGUUGGGUUAAGUCCCGCAACGAGCGCAACCCUUAUCCUUGUUUGCCAGCGAGUAAUGUCGGGAACUCCAGGGAGACUGCCGGUGAUAAACCGGAGGAAGGUGGGGACGACGUCAAGUCAUCAUGGCCCUUACGAGUAGGGCUACACACGUGCUACAAUGGCGCAUACAGAGGGCGGCCAACUUGCGAAAGUGAGCGAAUCCCAAAAAGUGCGUCGUAGUCCGGAUUGGAGUCUGCAACUCGACUCCAUGAAGUCGGAAUCGCUAGUAAUCGUGGAUCAGAAUGCCACGGUGAAUACGUUCCCGGGCCUUGUACACACCGCCCGUCACACCAUGGGAGUGGGCUGCAAAAGAAGUAGGUAGUUUAACCUCGGGGGACGCUUACCACUUUGUGGUUCAUGACUGGGGUGAAGUCGUAACAAGGUAGCGCUAGGGGAACCUGGCGCUGGAUCACCUCCUUAAACGAUGAU
Molecule: ribosomal RNA, 1563 nt
Filed under: Vibrio parahaemolyticus
Lineage: Bacteria; Pseudomonadati; Pseudomonadota; Gammaproteobacteria; Vibrionales; Vibrionaceae
Description: bacterial SSU rRNA
Rfam family: Bacterial small subunit ribosomal RNA
Source: RNAcentral